This 440-nucleotide ribosomal RNA is filed under the name uncultured bacterium. RNAcentral's name for it is "partial 16S ribosomal RNA". It matches the Rfam family "Bacterial small subunit ribosomal RNA", at positions 338 to 795 of the family's 1533-position model. The record is from RNAcentral.
CCUACGGGUGGCAGCAGUGGGGAAUAUUGCACAAUGGGGGAAACCCUGAUGCAGCGACGCCGCGUGUAGGAAGACGGUCCUCUGGAUUGUAAACUACUGUCCCCAGGGACUAAGAUGACGGUACCUGGGGAGUAAGCUCCGGCUAACUACGUGCCAGCAGCCGCGGUAAUACGUAGGGAGCGAGCGUUGUCCGGAAUUACUGGGUGUAAAGGGAGCGUAGGCGGGGAUGAAAGUUGGGUGUUAAAUCUACCGGCUCAACUGGUAGUCGCACUCAAAACUGCAGCUCUUGAGUAAAGUAGAGGCAGGCGGAAUUCCUAGUGUAGCGGUGAAAUGCGUAGAUAUUAGGAGGAACACCAGUGGCGAAGGCGGCCUGCUAAGCUUUUACUGACGCUGAGGCUCGAAAGUGUGGGGAGCAAACAGGAUUAGAUACCCCUGUAGUC